This 514-nucleotide ribosomal RNA is filed under the name Shigella flexneri. RNAcentral describes it as "partial 23S ribosomal RNA". It matches the Rfam family "Bacterial large subunit ribosomal RNA", at positions 294 to 816 of the family's 2925-position model. Lineage: Bacteria; Pseudomonadati; Pseudomonadota; Gammaproteobacteria; Enterobacterales; Enterobacteriaceae. The record is from RNAcentral.
GGAGCAGCCCAGAGCCUGAAUCAGUGUGUGUGUUAGUGGAAGCGUCUGGAAAGGCGUGCGAUACAGGGUGACAGCCCCGUACACAAAAAUGCACAUACUGUGAGCUCGAUGAGUAGGGCGGGACACGUGGUAUCCUGUCUGAAUAUGGGGGGACCAUCCUCCAAGGCUAAAUACUCCUGACUGACCGAUAGUGAACCAGUACCGUGAGGGAAAGGCGAAAAGAACCCCGGCGAGGGGAGUGAAAAAGAACCUGAAACCGUGUACGUACAAGCAGUGGGAGCACGCUUAGGCGUGUGACUGCGUACCUUUUGUAUAAUGGGUCAGCGACUUAUAUUCUGUAGCAAGGUUAACCGAAUAGGGGAGCCGAAGGGAAACCGAGUCUUAACUGGGCGUUAAGUUGCAGGGUAUAGACCCGAAACCCGGUGAUCUAGCCAUGGGCAGGUUGAAGGUUGGGUAACACUAACUGGAGGACCGAACCGACUAAUGUUGAAAAAUUAGCGGAUGACUUGUGGCU